CAGUAGCCGCGGUAAUACGUAGGGUGCGAGCGUUAAUCGGAAUUACUGGGCGUAAAGCGUGCGCAGGCGGCUUUGCAAGACAGAUGUGAAAUCCCCGGGCUCAACCUGGGAACUGCAUUUGUGACUGCAUGGCUAGAGUACGGUAGAGGGGGAUGGAAUUCCGCGUGUAGCAGUGAAAUGCGUAGAUAUGCGGAGGAACACCGAUGGCGAAGGCAAUCCCCUGGACCUGUACUGACGCUCAUGCACGAAAGCGUGGGGAGCAAACAGGAUUAGAUACCCGUGUAGUCCCUGUCUCUUAUAC
This 301-nucleotide ribosomal RNA is filed under the name uncultured bacterium. Its description in RNAcentral is "partial 16S ribosomal RNA". It matches the Rfam family "Bacterial small subunit ribosomal RNA", at positions 509 to 807 of the family's 1533-position model. The record is from RNAcentral.